GGUAUUACACCGGCGGAGCGGAUUACAUUGAUGUUGUAAAAAAGAAGAUGUUAGUCUUUAAUACCU
This 66-nucleotide transfer RNA is filed under the name Tonicia forbesii. RNAcentral's name for it is "tRNA-Ile". Lineage: Eukaryota; Metazoa; Mollusca; Polyplacophora; Chitonida; Chitonidae. The record is from RNAcentral.